ACACACACCCUGGUUAAAUGAAUGCAUGUCAAUACAUAAUAAGAAAAACUUUCAACAACGGAUCUCUUGGCUCUCGCAUCGAUGAAGAACGCAGCGAAAUGCGAUAAGUAAUGUGAAUUGCAGAAUUCAGUGAAUCAUCGAAUCUUUGAACGCACCUUGCGCUCUCUGGUAUUCCGGAGAGCAUGCCUGUUUGAGUGUCAUGAACUCUUCAACCCACCAGUUUCUUGCAUUCUGUGUGGUGCUUGGAUUCUGAACGUUGCUUGUGCCGAGAGCCAUGCUCGUUUGUAAUACAUUAGCAUUUCUAAUUCGACCCCGGAUUGACUCAGUGUAAUAGACUACUCACUGAGGACAUUACUUGUAAUGGCCGGAUCAAAUUACCAGUCCAAUGCUCCAAACCACCCCAGUCACAUAUCAUUUUAGACCUCAGAUCAGGCAGGAUUACCCGCUGAACUUAA
This 455-nucleotide ribosomal RNA is filed under the name uncultured fungus. RNAcentral describes it as "eukaryotic LSU rRNA". The stretch from base 47 to 200 matches the Rfam family "5.8S ribosomal RNA". Lineage: Eukaryota; Fungi. The record is from RNAcentral.